This is an RNA transcript of Phragmites australis (common reed), 1521 nucleotides long. RefSeq lists it as uncharacterized. The record is from RefSeq and is a predicted model, not a curated record. The transcript has 3 exons. NCBI's taxonomy places the organism in Eukaryota, Viridiplantae, Streptophyta, Magnoliopsida, Poales, Poaceae.
CUUCCAAACCGCACGGCACCCAACCGCGUGCCACUGCGCCGAGGCGCUCCGCUCCCGCCGCAGUGCCGCACCUCGCCACGGCCGCAGACGGGUAGACCCCGACGAGGAUCUCUGCGCUCGCGCCGCGGCUGCGGAGGAAGUCGUGCCAGCCAGGCCUCUCCCCCCGCCGCCGAUGUCCGGGAGGAGAGGAUAGAGCGCGCCUGGGCGCACUGGAGGCGGCUGGAGUCCCGAGGCUGGUGGCGGCGGCGAUGGUGGACAACUCGGAGCUGCCCUUCCGCAUGAUGUCCCGACGCUACGGCGCUGACGCGGCACACACGCCCACGAUCCACUCCCGCGUCUUCUCCGAGAACGAGAGGUACAGGUCCACGGAGUUCACCACGUGCAAGCUCCUUGCAGCCUCUGGGCUUGAUCCUAGUAAUGUGAAUGGUCAAGGAUCAAGUCAAACAGAGAAUUCAAGUAACAAUACUCCAUCUGCAUCUUUCCCGGCCGGUGCUGCAGUUCCUCCCACUUUUGCCUUCAUGGCCUUAGGUAAUGAAGGAAAUCGUGCACACCAAGCUUCUAUUGGUCAUGAAGGGGAACAUGGUGAACCAGACGUACAAAGAGAUGAUGCUAUCCAUAUAAUCUUGACUGGAUCCGAGCAAGCUUCAGUGGUUCUGUGAGCUGUGAUGCAGAUGUUUGGGCCUCAGCUGGGUCCACAUGAAGGCGCACCUAGAGGACCAGGUUGAUGUGAGAACCAGGAAAAUGUGUUAUGUGGUUCAUAGUUCAAUUCUGGUCUGCAGAAGUCUUAUACGGCAUGUUCUCUUGUCCUUCCAUCAAAAUUCUUCCUGAUCUACGUGGAAGUUCUUGGGCACCUUAUUGCAGUAUGUCUGUUCUAUUCCACCUUGAAGUUUCCUGCAUUUGUUGUCCUGGCAUAUGCUCAGUUUAACUGCUUUCUGCAUCUCAGCAUCAAUGUAUCAUUAGUGCAUGUUGAAUCUUGUUUGUUGAAAUUCUUUUGUGAUGUCUGUUUGGCCAUUUUAUUUGUCGGGGUAUGUCUGUUCAAUCUUGUCUACAGAGAUAGUUUGGACACCUUAUCGCAGUACGUCUGUUCUGUUCCAUUCCACCUUAAUGUUUCCUGCAUUUGCUGUCAUGGCAUAUGCUCAGCUUACCUGCUUUCUGUUUGCGAUGCUUGGGAUUGCAGGACCUUGGUGACCCAGCUGCCAGGCAAACUCAAAUCCAUGAUCCUCACAGCUGUUAUGUGGAAUAUCUGGAAGGCGCGGAACGCCAAAGUCUUCUAGGAUGAGGUGAUUGCCAUUCCUCAGUCCUUUGUCUGGCAGCCGCUGACCUCGACCUCUGACUACAUAGAGCUGGCGACCCGGCUGACCACGCUAGGUUGCGCGCUUGGAGCGAGCUCUUUGUUCAUGUAAUAAUGUGACGUACUAGUUACUUUCUCUCUACCCUAAACUUCGCAAAUCCUGUACGCCAAACCUUUGCAUAUGAAUAAAACCGUUCAGGUCGGCGUUAAGCCUGCCGCAGUUCCUCUAA